Molecule: non-coding RNA, 45 nt
Organism: Oryctes borbonicus
Lineage: Eukaryota; Metazoa; Arthropoda; Insecta; Coleoptera; Scarabaeidae
Source: Rfam
CAUACGGCCCUUUUCAGGGCCACAAAUGGCGGUAGAAAAGUGAAA